UACGUAGGGUGCAAGCGUUAAUCGGAAUUACUGGGCGUAAAGCGUGCGCAGGCGGUUGUGCAAGACAGAUGUGAAAUCCCCGGGCUCAACCUGGGAAUUGCAUUUGUGACUGCACGGCUAGAGUGUGUCAGAGGGGGGUAGAAUUCCACGUGUAGCAGUGAAAUGCGUAGAGAUGUGGAGGAAUACCGAUGGCGAAGGCAGCCCCCUGGGAUAACACUGACGCUCAUGCACGAAGGCGUGGGGAGCAAACAGG
Molecule: ribosomal RNA, 253 nt
Filed under: uncultured bacterium
Lineage: Bacteria
Description: partial 16S ribosomal RNA
Rfam family: Bacterial small subunit ribosomal RNA
Source: RNAcentral